RNAcentral lists this ribosomal RNA (301 nucleotides) under uncultured bacterium. Its description in RNAcentral is "partial 16S ribosomal RNA". It matches the Rfam family "Bacterial small subunit ribosomal RNA", at positions 509 to 807 of the family's 1533-position model. The record is from RNAcentral.
CAGUCGCCGCGGGAAUACGAAGGGGGCUAGCGUUGUUCGGAAUUACUGGGCGUAAAGCGCACGUAGGCGGAUAUUUAAGUCAGGGGUGAAAUCCCGCAGCUCAACUGCGGAACUGCCUUUGAUACUGGGUAUCUUGAGUAUGGAAGAGGUUAGUGGAAUUGCGAGUGUAGAGGUGAAAUUCGUAGAUAUUCGCAGGAACACCAGUGGCGAGGGCGGCUAACUGGUCCAUAACUGACGCUGAGGUGCGAAAGCGUGGGGAGCAAACAGGAUUAGAUACCCCAGUAGUCCCUGUCUCUUAUAC